Molecule: long non-coding RNA, 886 nt
Filed under: Zostera marina
Lineage: Eukaryota; Viridiplantae; Streptophyta; Magnoliopsida; Alismatales; Zosteraceae
Description: long non-coding RNA (ZMAR_LNC005973)
Source: RNAcentral
GGAGGUCAAUCCAGAACGGAGGUGAACCCAUCGGAGGGUCUGCGGUUCCAGAACGGAGGUCAAUCCAGAACGGACUUGAUCCACCUCUGUCUUCGGUUGGUACACCUUGGUACACCUCUGUCUGCGGUUCCUCACGCUUGGUACACCUCUGUCUUCAUUGGCUAAAUCCAAAUACAGAAUUCCUGUGGAUUGAAAGAGCUCGGCUUCUUCUUCUGAACGCCGGAAUAAUCACGCAUUUGCGAGCAUUGUGACGGAAUAGUCGAACCGGUAUUAAAUUUAGCGGGAUCCGAUUUUAUUUCUUGCGAGCCCUUCUCAAGAUGAAGGAACGGAUAUUGCAGAAAUUCUUUGGUCGCUCUUGACUCAGACGCUGACCGUUUCAGUUGGGGAGCACCACAACAACCUUCGUCAGUUCCACCUGAUUCGGAUUUGGGUAAGGGAUCCAAGCCCAUUAGUCUGGCAAUGACGCUUGGAGACCCUAUCUGCUUGUCUUGAUCAUUACGGAGGUGAACCCAUCGGAGGGUCUGCGGUUCCAGAACGGAGGUCAAUCCAGAACGGAGGUGAACCCAUCGGAGAUUCUACGGUUCCUGAUAGUUGAUCGACACGCCGCAUCCGUCGCUGCAGGGAAGUGGAUUUGGGAUGUUGUAGUGUUUCAUCUCCGCCCAGGCCACCGCCUUUUCUGUGCGGUUGCAAGCUUUUUGCCUUGAAAUCUUCUAGUUAUUUGUUUAAAUCCCAUCCCGGUGAUCCCGCUCAGCAACUAUUUUAAUUUGAUUUUAUUUCAAAAUCACUGCUUAGUCUGUUUAUUUAUUUAGAGGAACCCAUCGGACGGUGGAGGCAGGGUACCGUCAGGAGCGACCGUGCGAACAGGGUCGCUCCUGAUAUUUCCUCU